This 70-nucleotide transfer RNA is filed under the name Leucosyrinx sp. MNHN IM 2013-19304. Its description in RNAcentral is "tRNA-Ile". The record is from RNAcentral. Lineage: Eukaryota; Metazoa; Mollusca; Gastropoda; Neogastropoda; Turridae.
AGUGUUACGCCGGAUGAACGGAAAUCAUUGAUGUUGGUUAUUAUGGGAUGUAGUUAAAUCUCUAGCACUA